Molecule: ribosomal RNA, 392 nt
Filed under: Aplanochytrium sp.
Lineage: Eukaryota; Bigyra; Thraustochytrida; Thraustochytriidae
Description: partial small subunit ribosomal RNA
Rfam family: Eukaryotic small subunit ribosomal RNA
Source: RNAcentral
AUUCCAGCUCCAAUAGCGUAUAUUAAAGUUGUUGCAGUUAAAAAGCUCGUAGUUGGAUUUCUGGUAGGAGCGACCGUGCCGAACUUGAUUGUUCGUGUAUUGUGUUGUCUUCAGCCAUCCUCGUGGAGAACUUUUCUAACAUUAACUUGUUGGGAUUGGGACCCGCGUCGUUUACUGUGAAAAAAUUAGAGUGUUUAAAGCAGGCAUUAGCUUGAAUACAUUAGCAUGGAAUAAUAAGAUAGGACUUUGGUACUAUUUUGUUGGUUUGCAUACCAAAUUAAUGAUCAACAGGAACAGUUUGAGGAUAUUCGUAUGAACAUGUCAGAGGUGAAAUUCUUGGAUUUUGAUCAGACGAACUACUGCGAAAGCAUUUAUCAAGGAUGUUUUCAUCG